Bombus huntii is the source of this 11412-nucleotide long non-coding RNA. RefSeq lists it as uncharacterized. Lineage: Eukaryota; Metazoa; Arthropoda; Insecta; Hymenoptera; Apidae. The transcript is spliced from 3 exons. The record is from RefSeq and is a predicted model, not a curated record.
UUGAAAACAAAGCAAACUUGAUCUACAACUCUACCAGAGUGUUCGAAUACGAAUGAAUCAUAGCGUAUAUACUACAUUAUUGCUGAAUAUAAGAGAAUCUCGAAGCAUUGACUGUUAUCUGUGAGAAAAUGGAUAAGCGCAAAGAUAUUCUACUAUUUUUUACCGACUAUCCACGAGAACUGAGUUAUGAGAAGAUCGCUGUAGGUGGUCUUACGCGAGAUAAUCGAACCUCAAAUAAAUAACUAUUCUUUCCAGCUCGAAAGCUAUUCUUUUGUACGUACUAUUCUCUUGGCACGUGUUUAUACCUGGCAGAUGUUAAAUAGCAUUUAAUCAUUAGCAUCAUUACGUUAUUUUUAGUGAAAGUGAUUCAACGUGUAAUGAAGAAUUAUUCAAUUAACUAAAAGCAGCAGUUUAACCAAAACGUGUAACAAAUUCCAAUUAAUUUUAGUUAAGGCAGGAUAUAAUGAUUCUGAUGGUUGACUGGACCAAGAUCGCUGUCCACUUCAUUUUCGAUUCGAAAUAUCAGCAGGUGGGCAUACCUGACAGCUGUACAACUCGACAUUCGUUCACGGUAUUAUUAGCAUUCACAAAAAUGCAGACCAGAACGGAUCGAUGCCCGAAAUUAGCUGUCCAAUAUUAAUUAGCUUUUAGCCUAAUUGCGAUUUUAUUUAUCCAACCAAAUGGGAAACCGAACCGAUCGAGAUCUCAAUCUCAUAAAAUAUAAUUAAUAGACGAAUUCGAAGUUUGGGAAAGUUACGAGUUUGGGAAAUCAGUUAGUCAAUCUAUAAAGAAACACAGACAGUCUAAGAAUCUGAGAAAAUUAAAUUUGGAAGAAAAGUGAUAAAACUAAAUUUAUAAAUCCAUAUAAGUUUUUCUUCCAACCAUUAGUGUCAUCCGCGCUAUAAUAAUUAAUUAAACGCAUUUGGAAAGUGAAAAUAUGACACUACGAAAACUUUGUCAGCACCAAUAAAUAUAGAAUAAAAUAUAGAAUAAAAUGUAGAAAUUUACACGAAAAAGUACAACUGGUAUAUUAAGUAAAUUUAACAUUAACUACGUUAAGUAAUUUACGUCAUCAGUAAUGCAUUUUUGUAAAAUCUUUAAAUGAAAUCCUCUCGUACGCAUAACGUAGUAUAAGUGGCCCUAGAAAAUAUUAAAUUUUCCAAUAAAUUUAUCAAAACUCUAUAGAUCGUUUAUAUAGAAAUAAAAUAAUUGUGUACUGUUGUUAGUUACCAAGGAAAAUAGAGUUAGAAAAAUGAACAAAAAUGGACUUAUUAUACUCGUAUAUUUUCCGCGUAAUUUUCAAUUCGUUUAUAACCUUGAAGUUUGCAUCUAAUUGUCCCUGUUUCGAUCAGUCAGAGAGAAUGUUACGGAAGACAGUGGUAGAGCUUGAUAGAGCAGCCAUACAUAUCUCGGUCACGGAAAGAGCAACCGGGAAUUUUUCUCAUGAAAAGGACCCGAUAAUGCGUCACGACAUUUUCCGUCUAUCCGGUGAAUCUUCUUCGUGGAAUAAAUAUGUAAAUAGGAAUUUCUCGUUUCUCUCGCGGCCGCGCACAAGACUCGCGACAAUCUUGACCUCUCCUGCUCGUAGCUGGUGUCUUCCUCUUUGUUCAAGCCUGGCUUUCGCUCUUCUCUCGCCAAUGUCUCGUGGAAAGACGUCGAACGCCGCUACUGCGUUCUACCUGCGAUAUCAGGCCCGGUCUCCCUUGAAUAAUUCAACGUGCACGCUGCUGCCGAUUUGCAAACGCGGAUGGAACAUCGAUACUUGUACGUACCAAUGUAUCCCGAACUUUUGAAGACGUCCAGAAACUGAAUUGUUGCUGUGGGAAGCUCUACUCGCUCUGUCAGCCAUUGUUCGUGUCGAACGAUCGUAUAAAAGAAAGGAGAUGGAAAAGAUGAAAGGCAAACGUUUUUUCACGAUGACCAGACUCUAUAUAAUACAUGUCCAACUGAAUAUUGAAACUUAUUAACGGAAUAGACAAUCGACUGUUUAAAUACUUUUGUAAUCUCCACGAUUAAAUAUCCUGUAAUUUCUACGUUUAUUUUCAAAUUUGUUUCGCAAACUUCGCCGCAAACUUCGUGUUAGCGUAAUUUCAAAGUAUUUCGUAUAACGGACAUAAUAUAUCCAUAAAAAGCGUUUAUAAGCGUCCAAAUACUUUGGUAAGCUUUAUCUGUACAAAAAAUAAAAUAUCAGAAGAAUAUCGAUCGUCGGCAAGAAAAACAAGGUAACAUCGCUUAUCAUGGGAAAACAGGAUGCGUCCUCUCGAGUAUCGCGUCUUUUCGGUAUCGCGUGUCUUCGUAUAGCUGAUGGCGGUUUCGCGAUCCUGCGCUACUUAACAAACUUACCCUUUAACCCCCGCCGUCUGGGCCAAGCACCGGUGCGGGGACGCGGAAAUUCUUAACGCUGUUAAGAUAUGUUAAUUUUGUUUACCUAUAAGCUAUUAAAGGGGUCCUAACGUGCUUAAAGCUAAAUCAGUUUAGUUUUCGCCGGAUGUGUUCACGGCAGAUCCACCGGAAUACGGCGUGCACAACCUCGAAAGGUAUUUCGCGAGGCAAGUCGGGGAGGCGUAGCCUUCCGCGACAGAAUUUACCACAGCAAGCCUUACCAACAGCACGGCGACGAGAUCUUAUCGGAUAUCUCGACGAUGUUUCGACAAACAUGCAGCUGGUUAUCGAAAUUUCAAAUUCGCCACGGAUUUGAUAUGCUGCCGAACUUACGUUAAAGAUGGAUUACACGUGACUUUCUACCGUGAUUUUACCAAAACCAGCGAGAUUAUCGCUGUUUGCUGAUUGAAAAGUGGAAAGUUUCUGCUCUGGAAGAUUUAUUAACAGCAAUGAUAUUUAUGAAGAUCAGAAGCUGAUGGAAGUAACUGAUUUGACACAUUGAUAGAAGACUAAAUAACAAAAAGCAAGAGUAGACUGCAAUAAGAUGGAGGUGAUAAUAGAAAAUAAUUUGCAGAAUCAUUAGCAAAAGAAUUGUAUCUGUAAUUGUAUGUAUCUGCAUUUAGAUUUGGGAAAAAGAUAAUUCAUCGCAGUGUUUCAUAAAUACUUCAAUUUCUCUAAGCUUUACAAAAUUAUAGAAAUCAGAUGGCAGAUAAGAUAGUGACAAGAAAAGUAUUGAGCAAAUCCUUGUGAUUCUUCUCCAUAACUACGAUAUUAAAAAGUAAGAUUCAUCAAGGUAAGUUGAUCGAUGGAAGACGAGUUUCAUUUAUUAUUUCGCAUUAAUUUUUAUGUAUUAAAAGAAACUUCGUUCCAUCUACUGAUAAAUAAAUAGAUAAAAUAUCUACUACUAUUUCCAUAGAUCACAAGAAAAGUGUACAAAUAAAGAUCGACGAGAAUUAGUUUACAGCUGGCGGUAUUUCGAUUCACGAAAUCGACAAACGAGAAAAUCUUUGCACGGGUACAGCUACAACUUUGCAGCUGCGCUUAUUACUAAUCCACGGCAGAACAAUUUAGGUGUUUGCCAUUACUAAUAACCUGGCGAGCAAACGCAGCAUUAUUAACAGGUUCGCAAACAUCUUCUGUAUUAGUGAUCUCGUCCCCUAUAACCUACAUAGUCUUUCUGUGCACCGAUUUUCCACCAUCGCCGCCCACACGCCAACCCUUAUUCCGAUCUCUUGUACAGAUAUUUGCCGUGUCUACACCGGCCAAAUUAUCUCCGGCGAUUUGAAGAUAAAGGAUUUUCACCGGUGCCGGAGAUACACGGCGCUCCCGCUUGGAUGAAGCCUGAGAAUCAAGUGCUGAUAACUGGCUUCGCUAGUAACUAACGAGAUUACCAGACUGUAGUGACGAAUCUGAGAAUCACAUACUUUUAACAUUUUUCACCGCGUGAUUCUCACGUAUUCUACGUAACACCGUGGUACUUUCGGAAUAUUUUAAAGAUAUUCAUAGUUAACUAUUCCAUCAGACUAAUGAAAUACUCAAUUAUUACAUAUUUAAUAUGUGAUUUGUAAUAAGCGAUUAAUACACGCUAUAAGAAUUUACAGUUUUUUUAAAAUAUUAAGAUUAGUUAUUUUUUAUGUAGAAUACCAUUAAGCCAUUCCGUUAUUAUAAGCAUACAGAUCGUUUCAUUGUUUCAUUUGUAGCGUAAAAUAGCUCGUUUCUGUUUGAGUAGAAUGAUCGAAUAUGUAAAUAUAGGAAUAUUUGUUAUCUCUGAUCCUAGUGAUUGAUAUAAUUACGAAUAAAUUUAUUAAAACCACGAAAUAAUUAUCGUAUCAGCGGAAUUUAUUUUCAUUUAUCACAUAAACUCGUCUUCAACAGAACCGAAACGAUGCAGCAAACAACACUCAGCUCACGAAAUAAAUAACUUAUCACGUGCAAGAUAUUCGAUAACCCUGGUGACAGGUUAAUUCGUCUCUUCCCAGUGAGCAGGUCAAAAGUGCUUGGAAAAUUCUAGUGCAACCUCCCCGCGCUAUUUAUAAAUCAUCGAUGGAUAUUAAUAACAGAUCGACGCGCGACACAUGGCACCGAGCGUAUUUUCCAACUUUAUUUCUGCGACAGGAACGACAUCCCGCCGUGAAUCAUUUUGACGGAUGCUUCUGCAUUUUGCGGCAAGUUGAUGUUAAUUCUCUCGAACAAGCUGAGAAGGAACAGUUACUAUUUCGACAUAUUUGAUCGCUAUGGAGAAAGGAUUGCACGAAGUGUUCUGGCAUUCUCGAACUGGCACGUCAAGAUUUAUCAGGCAUCAGAAUAGGAUCAAGCUUGUCGAGCGAGCGUAGCCGUGAAUAUUCGUUGCCUACACAGGAUUACGAAAUAGUCGGGACGACCCGAAGCGGAUUGACUCACUGACAGUUUUUGGCGCGACGCAGUUUGUUUCGCGGAGUCGAACACGGACUGCAUUAAUAUUCUGGCAACGUCGUCAAACAGAGCAGUUAUCCCGUUCCCCGUGCUUUCCUCUUUCGUCUUCUCCUCUUAAUCUCUGCUUGCCUCUUUCGCUACACAGUCGGCCUUUCCUUUGCCUUGCAAAUCUUUCCGAGAACGCGAAAGUUUUUUCGAAUACGCGACCGUCUUCUUGCGCUCGCGUGAUUCUUUUACGCGCAAGGACGAUCGAUUUUGCAAAUUCACGUGGAAUUCGUGUUAGUUCGGCCCGCGAGAGUUAAGAUAAUAUAGAAGCUGGAGAUGAAAACAGAAGGAAAUAAAAGCGACGAGAUAUCGUAAAGAUACAUAUUACAGAAGCGUUCGUCAUUUUUCAUAAAAUAUUGCUCAUUCUACUUGACAAUUCUAGUCUUAAUUAACUAUUAGAAACCCGGAUUAAUGCGCAAUUAGGACAAUUUCCAACAUUGUUAAUAACAUCGAGUCGUUCUGAAGUUAUAAAAGAGGUGAUGAAACGCUUAGUAAUUGAAUACGUAGUAAAUAACAUUGAAAUAUCAUUUGAAGAAAAUUUAAGAAAAUGAGUCAAUUAAGCCGAACAGAUCAAAGUUGCACGAUAAAGUGGAAGAAGAUUAAAGAAGUACACCAUCGAGUAGAUUCACGAAUUUCAAAAUGACAGUAAACCGAACGAUCAUGAAACGUGCACGUGUAUUUCGGGUUUCGUGAGUCAUAUGAGAUGACGUUAUCGUGUUUGGAUCAUACACCACGGAGCGAGUGUAGUCAAGAGUCAAUGCCAGAAAUAAUGUUGCUACAUGAGCUUUGCUAGAGUCGGGGGUGAUGUCCUAACAGCAUCAGUUAACGAAUUAUAUUUAUCCAGUCGGGACUUCAAUGUCUUCUUAUUCCUAUUACUAUGUCUUUCCUUUUGCUCUUUAACUUCGUUUCAUCCACAGAAGUGCUACUUAUACUUAUGGCAGCUAUUGUAGUUCAAAGUUGAGAGAAGGAUAUAGUUAAUUAUUCCAAAUACCUUGUAUAAUAUUACAAUAUUAUACUAUUUGCAUAUUGACAUUAAUCGCAAAAUUGGACCGUAAAGGCAGUUUCUAUGUUAAGUUAAAUUAAAAAUACCAUUGGACUUCGACAAUUCGACAAUUAAUCCACCUAAUAUAGAUUUUUAUAAAAUUGUUAAGAGAAAAUCAAUUUUCCUUUGUGCAAACACAAUCAGACGAAAUAUAUUCAUACGUAUCAAGUAAAAUAUCGUUUGAAAUUCUACGGAUCAUUGCGGUUGCUCAAGGGUUAGAACUAACUGGAAAAGAACACUCUAACAAAAUCUUAUCCAAAAUUCAACGAUAAGAUCUUCCAACUAAAGGAACCAUCCCUUAAAUCACCGUCUCUUCGAAAUUCUAAUUUUCAUACUCCAGUGAUAAUACCAACUUACGUUUGGUGGAAGGCAGAGGUCGGUAGGAAUCGAGUGAACCAGAUACACGCGAACGAAGGAAUUGAAAAACUGAAUACGGCGUAUACGGAUUUGUUAUCCCCCCGAUCACCAGCAGGCUCGAGACAAAUGCGCCCUCCCCCCCCCCCCCCGACCCAGGGGGUAGGGGGCCGUACGGGGGUCGGUGAUAAACAGUGUCGCUCAUUCACAAUGGCCGGCAAACACGCAUUAAAACGGACUAAUAUGAAGUGUAUUAAUGCGAGCGGCAUUGUCUAACCCAUGGUGUACAUGGCUACUGUCGUGGAGCCUGCCUUUAUCCCACCGUGGGGGGCCUUGCGAUGCUUACAUACGUAUAUAGGCCCUCUCGAUAUACCCAGUGACUUUUUAAAAGCCGCCGCAGCAAGGAAAAUACAUUCUUCAAUCUCUUAUGAAUGGGCCAACUCAUUCUCCAGGGAUUUUAAAUGAAUUGACAAGUUUUGCACUGGUGGAGCAGAUGGACGCGUAAAUAUUCCAAACUAAAACAUGUUAUGGAAGUAUUAAAGAAUUGUGAAAAUUAAUUCGCAAAGAAGACUAACAAAUUAAUUCGAUUAUCUAUCGUAUAAAGUGUUUACCUUUGGUUCGUAGUUUUAAAGUUUCAGGUCGCAGGUCUCUGAAUACAAAUUGUUUGUGUUUCGAUGUUCUGCGAUGGACACAGUGCUAGAACGUUUAAUAGAUCGCUUGGAUUGCUUAGCAGAUACUAGAAAAAUCGAGCAGCAAACGUUUGAAGUUAAGGCACAAGUUGCACAUAUGCAAUAGAUAUGCAAUGCAAAUAUAUACAAUGUGAAACUGAUUUAUUCGCUGUAGGAGGAAAACCCCUAGAUCUACCAUAUUUUUUUUAAUAGGAAACGUAUUGUCCUCCUUUUUCUACGACGACAACUCACUAUCAAUAAUUCUUCUACGGUACAAUAUAAAUACACCAAAGGAACUGAAAUAGUCGAAUAUAAAGCGAGGAAAAGAACUGUUGCAAAUGAAUGACGAAGUGGAGCAGUGGAAGACAGACAUUAAAGUGUAUUCCAAGAAGCGUUCAAGUACAAGGUUACGAGGUACACCCCGUAUGGGACCAAUCGCAGGGUAGUGCUGCAAGCUAGUUCUGCCCACUGGUCUAAAUUAUGGGGUCGCUGUCCAGCUCGCCACGCAUAAAUGAUUGCCCGUGUUAUGUUAAACAUCCAACAACGGAGAGCCCCGAGAGCUCACCCACACGAAACAUCCGAUGAAGGUGGAAGAGAAGCUGGAUAAGGGAAGAAGAGAAGUGGAGGAAGAGGCGAACGUUAUUUAUCUCGAGCAGUCGCACGAGCAAGGAUUUUGAAUAAUUCCUGGUCGGCGGAAGAGGUCGAGGAUCUUGCAACUCCAGGCCACUUCGUAUUGUCCAUAAAUAUUCUCCAGUCUGCAAAAAGUGUUCGACCACGGGCCACGCGUGCAACAUCACAUUUUCGUACCUCACAUUCUCAUCCUCUAUCCUCAAUUUGCUCUUCCUGACAGAUACAGGGCAUUCAUCUUUUGUAUUAUACAAUUCUCGAAGCUGCAACAUGUUGCCGCGUUUUUCCUCACAUUUCGGAAUCUCGAAAACGUCUCAAUAAUUUUCGACACGAAUUUUUAUAUCAGUUACGUUUUUCCUAGUGCGUUUAUAGAUCAGGAUGAAGAAGAGUUCUGUCUAUUUUGGGAUUUCCUAAAAUCACUGUAGGAUUUGUCUGCUGUUGAAAAGUUGAACGACAAACUAUUCUUUAUAACAAAGUGUAUCGUAGGCUUUGUAUUGUAUACGAGACAGGUAGAAAAAUUUACAAUGAAGACAGUCUUCUUUAGAUGAAUUAGUUUAGAUCAUUGUAAAACUUUUUCACAGGAAAAAUGUUGAAUACUGAGAACUAGACUACAAAGGCAUUGAAAGAAUAUUUAACUAAAAAAGAAUGAAAAAAUCAUCAUCAACGGAAUAGGUAGGAGACAAUCAUCAAUAAUGAAAGAUUAAAUAGUAGAACUUUUAAUUAGACUUCUUUUCUUUCUGAGAAUUUCCUAUCAUCGGUCUAAUGUUUUCCAAACGAACCGAUCUUAAUGUAUCUUCCAAAUAGGAGCGUAGAAUAUGAUCUUUCCACUGAUUGUGAGAAUAGACGGUUCUAUCGCGGAAAGUGCAACAAUUUGCUGGACACACGAAUGCCUCAGAAACAAAAAUACAGUUGGUGAUCGACUCAGAGAUCGGUCGGUCAGUGACCAACGAGGAAAAAGACAUAUUAGAGACAUCAUAAUGCCAGGGCGAAGCUGUGUUCCAAUUUAUAACCGGAUGAUAUCGCGAUAGAGUCUCAGGUUCGAGGCAUUGUGUUCGGUAGGGUUUCGUUCCUGAUGUUACACCGGGCAUCGACUGGGUGGGGUCUUGGUGCCUUGGUGGCCUGCCACAAGGUAUCCUUUUGAUAUCCUGUUAACUAAUGCCAGCUAUUCGUUACAGACGAAUAACUCAAGAGACGUAUACGUUUUCCGCUUAAAGAAUACUGCCGCGUUUCAUGAACGAUUCGACACACUCGAGUUCUCGUUCGAAGAUUCUUCAAAGUCUAUCGAAGUAUUGUUCUUUGGGAUAUCGAUCUUUUCGAUCCAAUAUCGGAAUAAAGCUUCACAAUUUUAUAUUCUUCACGUGUAUUCUAUUUUAUUUUAAAGUAUUUGUUGGAAGUUAUUGCGACGAACGUUAUUUGUAUUCUCUAUUAAUUUCUUUCAAUUUGUUUAUACAGAUAAGCACAGUUAUUUGGAACAGAGUUGAAACAUAAUAAAUACGUACGUAUUCAAGUACGAAGUAUUAUCAAAACCUCCUUUACAACGUUUUAUCUGAAUGCGACGUAAAAAUAAUCUCACAGAGAAAAGGACAAGGUAAAAAGAACUUGAAAGACGCAUAGAUUAACACGUGCAAAGCAAAGGAAGAAUGUAAAGAAGUAUAUAUAAAGCUUAUGUAAUAUAGUGGGUGAAUGAAGGGAAAAAAAUCCUGGUUACAACGAGCGAGAAAAAGGACACCACGAUGAGAUAUGAAGUUGAAUCCACGAGAUUCUUAUUCAUGAAGGAAUACUUAUUUUAUACAGGAGAUAAGAAAAAUCUACAUUAUUGGGUACGAGUCCAAUCAUCAAAAGAAAAGCAUAGUAUUGCGUGAUAGCAGUUUCUUAGUGGAUAGGUACUUACCUUGCAAUUACUCCUCUGGAAGAAUGAUAAAUAUAUCUGGGUUGCAUAAACCUGAACCGCCGCCAUUUCUCUUUCCACGGCAUCAACGAUCUCCAAUACGCUUUGCGACAGGUGAAUCGGCCAAAGAGUGCACCCUUUACAGCAAAAGAAUUAAUCGGAACGACGGCACAGAACGUGAUCCCGUCAGGUUGAGUCCAGGAGUAGAGGAUCGUGCUGGAGGGGCAGGACGAGGUUGGUCAAGUCCUUCCUUGUCGGGAUCACUCUAGUAGGCGGUACCAACGUGGCCAGGCCUACCUCUCUUCUGACUCGGGUGUAACAAUGGAUCUGCAACAAUAUAAGCAUCUCGUUUUCGUCCGGAUCUAAACUCGCUUCUGUGCUCUUCCUCUGACGUAUACACUGAUACAUGACAAGUAGCCAGCCCAACAAAACGCCGGGACUGAAUAUACAGUCGGUAAUGCGCUAUUGUAUCGACUUUAAAUAUCCGUUGGUUUCGUCUUCCGAGCGGUUUCCGGUAUUCAACGUUCUCCUGAAUCUUCACACGUUAACAGAAACUUUAACACGUGAGGAAAAUUAGACGUUGAUACAAAAAGGUACAAAUAUAGGUAAUAUAUAGAAAUGGUAAUUCUAUUCCGAACUGGAAUACUAUUGGUUAGGUAUUACCAGUGGGAAUAGAAUAUUGUAUAAGCACGGGUAUUUAAUUUCAGAUACGAAGAAAUAUUUAUCGUGUAUAGCGAAUAUAAUAAGAUGUAUAGUGGAAUCUUUUCUAAGAAUUAUGAAUGCAUUUGUUGUAUGUGAUAAUGAGUAAGGAAUAAAAUAGAAUAAAAAAUAAGAACAAAUAAACAAAAAAGAGAUGGUAGUAAAAUAAAAAUGAAGAAAUAAAAAAAAUAGAAAUUUUCCUUUCUGUUAUGAAAUUAGAAUAUUCAUACUUAAUGAGAACAUGUCUGAAUAUACUACAUAUACAUAUACCUGGGCGUAUUUAAAGUAUAAUUGCAUGUAAUUUUAGCUAAACUUUCUAUGCUAGAAGAACACAGAUCUACAAUUUUAAGCACGAAAGUUGAAAUAAGAAUGAUAAAUGGAAAAUAUAUAGAAUUAUUAUUCACAAAAAUAUUUAUACGUUGUUACAUCCCUGGUAUGAAUUUUAUAAUACAUAAUUUCUAGAAAUACACCGAAUUUACGAAAUUAAUUAAAUUCCAACUUAUAAUCACGUACAUAUAUUUUUCUUAAAAGCAGAAUUAAAGAGACUCGUGUUAUAUGGUGUUUGUAACCGAGCCAUGAAAAUAUUAUGAAAACACCAGUUCGGUUUUUGUUCAUUUACGCUUUGUUAAAUGAACAUCUCAUGAAUUAUAAAAAUUUUUUACCUUUGCGGCCGGGGAUUAAGUUUUACAUUCACAGCGUCGAGCGUAUUUUACACUACGUCUGGUCCAACAUUAAAAAUAGAUAAUGGAGCGGUGAAAAUAAACAGUCAUCUACGUGCAAUCGCUACGUAAGCAUGCGUCGUGGAAAAAACAACAGAUAUGGAGAACAGGUUUCAGAUAGAGACAGGUAUAUACCUGUGGACACGGCGAUAGAUGAUCUCUACAAAAUGAUGUACCAAUGAUGUUGACAAUCUAGCGCCGAGAAUACGACGAUUCUCGUUCAACUAGCCUCGGUAACAAGCCUCAUUGCCACUUUAUUAUCGCAAACAGAUCUGCCAGGAAUAGCCACAAAUCACACAGAACUGGUUAUCCGGUGCGUCAUACAUGAGCUUAUGUCCGUGUUUCUCAACAGCAUUAUCUAUGGAAACGGACUAACUCUCCUAUACUGAAUACGAUGGGAAAUAUUCUCGAAACAGCAUGGAACAAUUAGCAAUUAGCAUAAUUUCCAAUCCAUUACCUCCUAAUAGAAAUUCGAAUGUAUGCACAGAAGUGACUAAAAGGCAUACAUGUAACAGCUUUGAUUUAUUAACUUCUAAAUUAAUUUGUAUACGAGAAUAAAUGUGAUUCGUAAAGAUA